This 200-nucleotide ribosomal RNA is filed under the name uncultured bacterium. RNAcentral describes it as "partial 16S ribosomal RNA". It matches the Rfam family "Bacterial small subunit ribosomal RNA", at positions 326 to 539 of the family's 1533-position model. The record is from RNAcentral.
ACGCUCGACACCUACGGGGAAGCAGCAGUGGGGAAUAUUGCACAAUGGGGGAAACCCUGAUGCAGCGACGCCGCGUGAGCGAAGAAGUAUUUCGGUAUGUAAAGCUCUAUCAGCUAGGGAAGAAACUGACGGUACCUGACUAAGAAGCACCGGCUAAAUACGUGCCAGCAGCCGCGGUAAUCUGAGCGGGCUGGCAAGGC